AUGGACCGAGGGGAGUUCUUCCUGAGCAUGUUCGUCACCGACCGACGAGUUCACCUCAGCUGGGAGGUGAUUUUUGUCUAUGGUCCUGCGGAUCAUGGGCGCUUUGCCGACUUCCUUGCCGAGCUCAAAAAUAAGGUGGAGAGGUGCACCACUCCGGUGGUGGUGGCCGGGGACUUCAACCUCAUUAGGUGGGCUUCAGAUAAAAACUCUCCUAAUGUUGAUCGGGUCCGCAUGCGUCUAUUCAACGACUGCAUUGCGGACCUUGCACUUCGUGAGAUAGCCCGCGUAGGGGCUAGGUUCACAUGGACGAAUAAGCAGGCGGACCCCAUCCAGAGUGUUUUGGAUCGGGUAUUUGUGUCGGCUCAGUGGGAAGUGAUGUUCCCAUUGUGCUCCCUCAAGGCGGUCACUCGGAUUGGCUCCAACCAUACCCCCCUGCUUUUCUCUUCGGCGGAUGAUGCCCCCCAGAACCCGUCGCUUCCGCUUUGA
Molecule: ribosomal RNA, 486 nt
Filed under: Triticum aestivum (bread wheat)
Lineage: Eukaryota; Viridiplantae; Streptophyta; Magnoliopsida; Poales; Poaceae
Description: partial small subunit ribosomal RNA
Source: RNAcentral